AGCUUUGCGCAGUGGCAGUAUCAUAGCCAAUGAGGUUUAUCCGAGGCGCGAUUAUUGCUAAUUAAAGAUGGAGUUUAUACAUUGUUUCAUGGUUCUACAGAUUGAAAUCAUAUUUUUAUAAAAAUUAAAAUA
Molecule: small nuclear RNA, 132 nt
Filed under: Neogale vison (American mink)
Lineage: Eukaryota; Metazoa; Chordata; Mammalia; Carnivora; Mustelidae
Description: Neovison vison (American mink) U4 spliceosomal RNA (ENSNVIG00000014640.1)
Rfam family: U4 spliceosomal RNA
About the family: U4 small nuclear RNA (U4 snRNA) is a component of the major U2-dependent spliceosome. The structure of U4 snRNA from yeast and human has been reported. U4 snRNA presents a k-turn RNA motif in the 5p-SL related to recognition of Snu13 protein.
Source: Rfam by way of RNAcentral